UAAGUCACUGGUGCCGUCAUGCCGUACAAAUCUUUCGCCUUUUACUAAAGAUUUCCGUGGUGGCGCCAGGCUAUGACCAAAACCAAAUUUUUGAAGCGCGAAAGCGCA
Molecule: non-coding RNA, 108 nt
Organism: Guillardia theta CCMP2712
Lineage: Eukaryota; Cryptophyceae; Pyrenomonadales; Geminigeraceae
Source: Rfam